AGUUCGGAUUGUAGUCUGCAACCCGACUACAUGAAGCUGGAAUCGCUAGUAAUCGCGGGUCAGAAUGCCGCGGUGAAUACGUUCCCGGGUCUUGUACACACCGCCCGUCACACCAUGGGAGUCGGAAAUGCCCGAAGUCAGUGACCCAACCGUAAGGAGGGAGCUGCCGAAGGUGGAGCCGGUAACUGGGGUGAAGUCGUAACAAGGUAGC
Molecule: ribosomal RNA, 211 nt
Filed under: uncultured bacterium
Lineage: Bacteria
Description: partial 16S ribosomal RNA
Rfam family: Bacterial small subunit ribosomal RNA
Source: RNAcentral